GACGAACGCUGGCGGCGUGCUUAACACAUGCAAGUCGAACGGACAGGCCCUGCGUUUGUGGGGUGCUCGAGUGGCGAACGGGUGAGUAACACGUGAGUAAACUGCCCUUGACUUUGGGGUAACUUCAGGGAACUGCGGCUAAUACCGGAUAGGAGCUCCUGCUGCAUGGUGGGCGUUGGAAAGUUUCGGCGGUUGGGGAUGGACUCGCGGCUUAUCGGCUUGUUGGUGGGGUAGUGGCUUACGAAGGCUUUGACGGGUAGCCGGCCUGAGAGGGUGACCGGGGACAUUGGUACUGAGAUACGGACCAGACUCGUAUGGGACGCAGCAGUGGGGAGUAUUGCACAAUGGGCGGAAGCCUGAUGCAGCAACGCUGCGUUCGGGAUGACGGCUUUCGGGUUGUAAACCGCUGUCGCCUGUGACGAAGCGGGAGUGACGGUAAUGGGUAAAGAAGCACCGGCUAACUACGUG
This 468-nucleotide ribosomal RNA is filed under the name uncultured bacterium. Its description in RNAcentral is "partial 16S ribosomal RNA". It matches the Rfam family "Bacterial small subunit ribosomal RNA", at positions 28 to 507 of the family's 1533-position model. The record is from RNAcentral.